Molecule: long non-coding RNA, 1778 nt
Filed under: Mus musculus (house mouse)
Lineage: Eukaryota; Metazoa; Chordata; Mammalia; Rodentia; Muridae
Description: RIKEN cDNA B130055M24 gene
Source: RNAcentral
GGGCCGGGCCUCACCGAGCGCGCCCAGGAGGCCGUAGGUCUCGCGCAUCACAUCCCGGUACAGAGUCCUCUGAGCGGGCUGCAGACACCCCCACUCCUCCGAGGAGAAGUACACGGCCACGUCCACGAACUUCAAGGCCCUUGGCCUCCUGCCCCUUUUCCGAGUAGGUCCAGCCUCUCCGACUGCCCGCAGGAGAAGCGGAGCCGAAGGUGGCGCCAUCGGACCUGCUCCCCGGCCUUGCCACGGGGACCCGGAGACCUAGAAGCUCCGUCGGGAAGGCCCGGAGGAAAUCUGAAUCGGCUGCCUGAGGGGCCGGGCGGCCCGACACAGACCGUUAUUCAGGGAACUCCCGCUGGAACUUGGGUGAGAGGCACCGGAAGAUGCCUUCGGGGAAGAUGGCGGCGCUGCUCCUGCACCACCGCUGCCUAGAACACAGGCAGGUUCCAGCUAUCGAUUUUAUUGACCCGAACGCCAUGCCGACUUCUUAACCUCCUUGCCCUAAAGUGUAAUGGCGCUGCGAGAUGGCUUCUUGCCUACUUUCCUCCUAUCUAUUGCAUUCGUUUAUUGGUUGGUAGCUGAAGAUCGGGCGUUCUGAUUGGUCAUCAAUGAAGGCGGCCCAUUUGAAUGAAGCCAACGGAUUCUUAAGGGCAAGAAGGUGGAUCCUGUGUCUCUAAGCCGGUUGUGAGAAGUCUUAUGAAUGGGAGGCUUUUCUUGUGUUCUCCAACGCUUGUUUGCCCUACUUGGAGAAGACGUUUCUACAGGUCUUCCAAAGGGAAAGUCACACAGUGACAACAUGGAUUUUUGAACAGCUACAUCCUACGAUCAUAAAGGUGUCACAGCCAGGAAUUCUGAAAAGUACUAGAUGAGAAGGGAGCGGUGGUAAGGAUCUGGUGCACAAAAGGCGCGUCUGGUAAAAUUGAAUGACUAGAAUGCUCUCCUUCCAGGUACCCACUUCUCCGUAGCUUCUGGCGGCUACAGGUGGAACCCGAACAUGGGGACUGGAUAUGCAGAGAUCAUCUGAGGGAUACUGUCUUGGUGGAGCUCCACAGAAAACGGAGGAAGACGGUAUCCUGCACAGUAAGCGACAUACAGCACUGAUGCUGGUGCUCCCCUUACUUUUCAUCUUGUUGAAACUGUUGCCGUAGGUGCAAAGGGAUGCGGGCUAAGUUGGGGCAGUGCCAACCCAACACUGAUUCCACUUAGGGAUUGACAGUGGAAGAUGGGACUGGAAAAUUCUAAACAGGCAUUUGUCUACAGCCUUCAAGAGCUGCUUCAGGCGAGAGGGGUAGGGUUUGAAGAACAAUUGUUAGAAAACGUUUCAGAUCAGAUCAAUUCUUGCUGACCGUGGAUUCAAGAUGAAAACUUUAGAUAAGAGAACCAUGGGGAAAAAAUUGGAGAAGCUCUGAGAACCACCCAGGCAGAUAAUAUCACCCUCUGCCUCUGGGUGCUCAUGAAAGAUGCUAUUGAUGAGGAGACCUUGCAGGCGUCAGACAGUGCCCAGGGAGGGCUUGAAGAAUCUCAGGAAGAACGCCUGCCAGAGAGAGCUUUCUCAGAAAAGGGCCCUCUCCACUCUAAAUUAGAAAGGUAGAGAGAUACUAAAGAUGAGCUAACAUCAAAGGAGGAAGCUCAUUCAGAACAAGGAGCCGCCAAAUAUUAUGAUGAGGAUCGGCCUCCACUUAUGGCCUCUACUGCAGGAGAUGCUGCCCAGAUGGACAUGCAACUAAGUAAAUUAGAGUUUGAAAUUAAACUGCAGAAAUUGACUAAUGAGCUACAGGAGC